AACCUUAUGGACCUGCGGGCGUAUACCUGCGGAGGGAUCAUUAUCAAAACAGCGGCCUUCGGGCCUUGCUGCACCCUUGUCUUUUGCGCACCGUAUUGUUUCCUCGGCGGGCUUGCCUGCCGGUUGGACAUUAUCAAACCUCUUUGUAGUUGCAAUCAGCGUCAGAAAAACAAUAAUUAUUACAACUUUUAACAACGGAUCU
RNAcentral lists this unclassified non-coding RNA (202 nucleotides) under soil metagenome. RNAcentral's name for it is "partial contains 5.8S ribosomal RNA, internal transcribed spacer 2, and large subunit ribosomal RNA". The record is from RNAcentral.